AGCAGCCGCGGUAAUUCCAGCUCCAAUAGCGUAUAUUAAAGUUGUUGCAGUUAAAAAGCUCGUAGUUGAAUUUCGGAACCGAUGGAUCGGUCACGCCAUUCGGUGUGUACUGGUUUAAUUGGUUCUCACCUUCUAAGGAACCGUGAUGUCAUUAAUUUGGUGUCGCGGGGAAUUAGGACUGUUACCUUGAAAAAUUAGAGUGUUUAAAGCAAGCUCACGCUUGAAUACAUUAGCAUGGAAUAAUGAAAUAGGACAUUGUAUUCUAUUUUGUUGGUUUCUAGGAUCGAUGUAAUGAUUAAUAGGGAUAGUUGGGGGCAUUAGUAUUCAAUUGUCAGAGGUGAAAUUCUUGGAUUUAUUGAAGACUAACUACUGCGAAAGCAUUUGCCAAGGAUGUUUUCAUUAAUCAAGAACGAAAGUUAGGGGAUCGAAGACGAUCAGAUACCGUCGUAG
This 450-nucleotide ribosomal RNA is filed under the name uncultured Glomus. Its description in RNAcentral is "SSU rRNA". It matches the Rfam family "Eukaryotic small subunit ribosomal RNA", at positions 569 to 1023 of the family's 1831-position model. RNAcentral also lists the same sequence under 1 other name. The record is from RNAcentral. Lineage: Eukaryota; Fungi; Glomeromycota; Glomeromycetes; Glomerales; Glomeraceae.